This 482-nucleotide ribosomal RNA is filed under the name Melarhaphe neritoides. RNAcentral's name for it is "partial 16S ribosomal RNA". It matches the Rfam family "Bacterial large subunit ribosomal RNA", at positions 1817 to 2571 of the family's 2925-position model. The record is from RNAcentral. Lineage: Eukaryota; Metazoa; Mollusca; Gastropoda; Littorinimorpha; Littorinidae.
CGCUCCUUGAUUUUAAUUAAUAAGGAGUCGGACCUGCCCAGUGAUAAGUAUUUAACGGCCGCGGUACUCUGACCGUGCAAAGGUAGCAUAAUCAUUUGCCCUAUAAUUGAGGGCUAGUAUGAAUGGUUUGACAAGAACAAUACUGUCUCUUUCAAAAUUUCUAGAAUUUAUUCUUUAGGUGAAGAAACCUAAAUAAAAUUAAAAGACAAGAAGACCCUAUCGAGCUUAAACUCUUUUUAUAAAAUAAAAAAAAUUAAUGAUAUUUUUUGUUAUAAAAAAUUUUGGUUGGGGCGACUAAGGAACAAAAAAAGCUUCUUUAUUUAAUAAAGACAAAUGUGUAUUGAUCCAUAAAAUCUUGAUUAAAAGAAUUAGUUACCGUAGGGAUAACAGCAUAAUCUUUUUUAAGAGUUCUUAUCGAAAAAAAGGUUUGUGACCUCGAUGUUGGACUAAAAUUUCCUAAUAGAUGCAGACGUCUUUAAGGG